RNAcentral lists this long non-coding RNA (362 nucleotides) under Oryzias sinensis (Chinese medaka). Its description in RNAcentral is "lncRNA (ENSOSIG00000023474.1)". The record is from RNAcentral. Lineage: Eukaryota; Metazoa; Chordata; Actinopteri; Beloniformes; Adrianichthyidae.
CCUGGGCUGACAACAAAAGUUUUUGACUCUUUCUGCUCAAAAUACACUCAAACCCUCAGUACGCUAACACUAUCACAGGGUUUGUACUUUUGUGUAGUUUGAGGGUAUCAGUGUUUACUCCUUGUUUUUAAGGAAACUUGCGAGUUGCAUCUGUAUUCACGGAGGCACAUAGGCUCUUUGAUCUGAUUUGGAUGCCAUUUAAUGAAGAUAACGAGUCGCGUUGACAACAUGUUCCUGACUUCAAAAUGCAUCCUCUCCUCCCCUGCUGUUGCCAUUCAUCUCCAUUUACCCAGAGACUGACGUGAGUGUGACACUGACACACUCCUAAGGCUGUGAUGUUUUCUUUCUUUUAUAUUUUUUUU